This is a non-coding RNA of Vanrija pseudolonga, 71 nucleotides long. The record is from the annotation of a RefSeq genome assembly. Lineage: Eukaryota; Fungi; Basidiomycota; Tremellomycetes; Trichosporonales; Trichosporonaceae.
GGGGGAUUAGAUUAAUGGUAAAUCGCCGUUCUUACACAACGUCUAUAGAAGUUCGAUUCUUCUAUCCCCUA